RNAcentral lists this long non-coding RNA (4482 nucleotides) under Mus musculus (house mouse). RNAcentral describes it as "long non-coding RNA chr2:76595947-76600429". The record is from RNAcentral. Lineage: Eukaryota; Metazoa; Chordata; Mammalia; Rodentia; Muridae.
GGUUUAGCAAAGUAGACAGCCCCGUUCUUUGGUAAACUGGAGACAUAGAGCUAGCCAAUAUCCCACACUCGGAAUGAAUAAAUAACUAUGCACAAUUAUGUUUCUUAUAGCUACGCGUGGUUUCUGGGUCGACUGAAAAGCUCCCAUUGGCUUUUCUAUUCAUCUUUAUAAUGGAUUUUCAAAAGUGCAUUAGACAAGGCUCCUAACCACUUUUGGAUCCUUUCUGUUUUGCUGCAACCAUAUUCCUUAAAUAAAUAAAUAAAUAAAUAAAUAAAACCCAUGCCCUCCUCGGAAAGCAGCCUAAAAGAAGGAGAAUAUAAAAUCCAAAGUCGGGAGAGUCAGAAAAGAAGAUGAAACUGUAACAGGCGCUUCAAGCUGAUCAGGAGAGUUUUAAAUGAUGUACAAACUACACGUUCCGUCUGCUGUCUGAAAGCGUCAUCCCAUACCUUAGGAGCUCCGGGGCCGUAGUCGGUUAGUUCAGACUUGAAGUGUGUUCUUUUGAUGUGGUGUGCUUGUUCUCAGCCUCGUGAAAAUCGACAACGCGAUGCUUCCCGAAACCCACUCCAUCUUUACGACAUUGUUCAUGCCUUAAGAAAUGCAAAGAUGUACAAUAAACUGUUUUCUAAAUGUGUGCUCAUAGGUGUAUGUGAAGGACAGAGUGCUGGCGUGAUUCACUUUCUUGGUCAGAAGGUUGAUUCAGCUGAUAGAAGGAUUAAAUGAGGGAAAAACACACUUUCCUUUGCUAAGUCAGUUCUGCUGUGGUGGAUCUGAGGGGCAAGAGGGCUAAGGUACUGUAUCCUAAGUUAGAUCUCUGUAUCCAGGUCGUUCUUUAAGUUCCUGUCCUAUGUCCAGAUAGUAAGCCAUCCCUCCUCCGUCUGACCUCACAGUGUGCCCUGGUAUUUGGCAAAAGUUGUAUCUGAUUUGGACGCCCGUCAUCAGUGUUAAACUUCAGUAGGAAGUAACAAAGCCCAGUUUCUGCCUGGGCUGGGUGGUACCACAAAGCACACAGGCCAUAGAACACAUCCCUGGCUCAUGCCCGCCACUCGACACUGUUGCGAUUCCAUGGAGAACGAAAGCUUAUUUGCAUUAUGUAAAUGGAUCCUAUGCAUAAUCAUGUUUCUUUUUUAAAAAAAAUCAAGCGGUUCCAUAUGAUACACGGUUACAUAUUAAGCAUCUACCUUGCUAAGGGCAGAUAUAUAAAACUUAGGCUUAAAAAAAAGUAAUCCAUUCCAAAGGUGGGGUCAGGCAAGGUUUGAUUUCAAUCCUUGAGGUUUUGUUUUUCCUCCACGGGUACACAGAGGCUUUUGUAGGAAGCUUGCAUUGGCGUUUUUAAGUUCUUGCAUGUACAUGACAAUAUAAACACCCGUAUGUUUUUUAAAAAAAAAUCUCUUAAGGGGGCUUCCUAGAGAAUUAGAAACUUAUAUAUAUUUUAUUGUUAGAGUUUUAUUCUUAGAUUCUUACCAUCUGAAUUUAAGUGUUACUUUAGACUCUGAUAACAAGGUUAGUGACAUUUUAUAUUUUGUUAAGAGGUAUCUAUCAAUCUCGGUGUUAUUUCUCCCCCCUCCCCGCCCCCGCAAAGUAUUCCUAAUAAUGGCUAACUCACCAUAAAACCCAAACCUUUUGUGAACAUGGAGGGAAAUCCAGAGUUUCCCCUAGAUGGAGCAAUAUUUUAGUUAUCCCCAAAUUCAUCUCCCCAUUCAUGUACACCAUGCACACAGCUGUUAGUCAUUCGAAUGAAACUUCGCUCUCCAAAGAGUUCCCGAAGUCAGAGCCAGAGCCAGGCUUCCGCUUACACGGCUUUCUCCAUGUGCUCCUGAGUCCUAGGUGACUCGCCCUGCAGUUGCAAAACCUUCCCCCGUGUCACGGACUACUUUUUUUCUCGGUUCAACCCGAUGCUGUUUUAUCAGUGCAUCUCUAGUUAUGUCUGAUUUUAUAUUGAGUUAGGACUUAAUUACAGUCCCGUGGACCUCCUCAUAAAAGCUGGUUCUCCUCCAACUGAGAAAGCUUACAGUACAAUUUAAAGUGGGUCUCGCCUGCACUUACUAGUGUCUGACGAAACAGUCUUACAUCUGCCUAAGUAAUAGAAGAGCCCUGCAGAAUAGAGAUGCCACAAGGAGGGACUGCGAAGGUGAGGUGAUCAAAACACAAUAGGAGAUGUCCAUUUAGUAAAGGACAGAAGGCCCAGGACACAGCAGGGAAGUAAAGACAGCUCCCAGGUUUGGAUUAACUGAGAAGAAAGGAGAAACAACAGAUGAAGCCUUUGUAGUCAGAUAGUAAGGUUAAGAUGACAAAUAAGAUAAGGUCAGAUCUACCCGGAAACUCUAAUAAGAAUUUCAGGAUGCAAACGAGAGAAGCAUGGGAUUAAUUACAAUCACAUUGUAUGGCAUCCUCCAUUUUGAAUCUGUUUGGAGAUUUUGGUUCCCCCGGGUGUGACCAUUAUGUUGUCAGGUCUCGUCUCAAUCACGUCAUCAGUUAGGCUUCAAAUUCCCCCACCCCCACCCCAGCACCCGACUCACCCAUCUCCAAUGGAACACUCACUUGUCUUGCUGAAAUGGCCUUGUCCUUUUUGUUCACACAGUGAUUAUAAAGAACUCUAUUGAAAUUUCAUUUACAUGACAUUUCAGCUAUUAAACCUAAAUGACAAGAGGGUGGAGUGGUAUAGCUUAUUCUCUUGAUAAAAAAUGUGAUGUAGCCCUUGGAAUUUUACAUAAACCACUAUAUUUGGGAGAUAGUGGUUUUCUGUCAAAGGGCCGUAGGAAGGCUUAGUAUGCCUGUGUUCUUUUCCAUGCUUUAUUUUCAAAGCUCCCUCCCCUCUGGCAAAAUUGUCCUGAGAGUGACAGUGACCCUGAGGGGUUUGCCAGACUGGGCUGACUGGUCAGUACCAACCUUUGCUGAGGCUCACCAAAAUUGGAUCAUUUUGAUGCUGAAUGCUGUUAACCAAGGUGUAAAUGUACUCUUCAGUGUUGCUGAUCUUUCUUAUUUUUUAAUUGUCAUUAUUUUUCUUGGGUUAUUUUAAAAUGAUGUCCAUGUUCUCUCCAGGUAGCUGUAAAAAAUAAAUAAAAUAAACUUCAUUUAAGAUACCUGUUAGUGCUACAUGUCAGUUGUAUGUGAUUGCAGGGUCAAAUGUCAUUCUUCUGCCUGAGGGAAACCAAGGAAAUUGUGGUACAGAGGCCACCAACUUGUCAACUUCCCAAAUCUUUUGUGCUCAAGCUCUUGAUUCUUCUGGCCUUGUGUUAUUCUGCAUUAGCACUUACCAGUCAUUAGAUCCUGUUCUAAUGGACUAGCAUGGAGCUCAGAGAGGGAGAGACGCUCUAGGAAGGAAACCCUGAUUAACGUGUUUAGUUUAGUAGUAAAGAACAUUUUUUGUUACUCUUCUGUGGGUUUAAUUAUCCAUCCUGUUUAAUGCUGUUCUCUGUCAUCCUAGAAAAUAAAGCGUUUGUGGGAGCAGAGCUCCGCCCAGCAGGGGGCAGAGCAGAUGUUUGCACUUGGCUCAGUAUGUUAUGAAUGUGGCACAGUAAAUAAAGUUUGUGUACAGAAUAUUAGUUUAUUUCUAUGAGAGCAAUUAUGUUCAGGAUAUAUAAAAAAUGUAUCUAAUUAAACCAUUACGGAUCUAUUUUGUGCUCUAGAAAUGUUCUUUUUUUUGGGUUGGGGGGAGUGUCUAUAGAGCUAAAAGUAAAAUGUUGAUGUGUUCUCAUGGGUUUGGUUUCGUCUCCCAAAUGCUCCGUGGCUUUUGGGAAAGACUCCAUAUCACCCCAGGAAUCUAUCUUAAUUGAGUUUGGUUUGUAAACACUUCUACUUUGAAAGUUGUGCAUUGUGUGGCUCCUUCUCUGAAACAGAAACUAGCUUUAUUAACAACAUCUUCAGUACCUCUUCUGCCUGUCACGGAGAUGUGGAACCUUUCUGCAGUGGCCGCUUUCAAAAAGAGAAUGGCAAAUUGCAUUGGAUGGGUUUGGCUUCAUUCUUCUAACCUGGGAUCUAAAGGAUGGAUAAAUGCUGUGAUGAAGUAACAUGCCCUACAUCCUAAGUAGAUCAGGCCCUUAGGACAGACAGACAGACAGACAGACAGACAGACAUCUGGCAGAUGCCUCGUCUGGAAGAGAAUUGGUGUUGUACUCUUGCAUUGGCUUUUCAAAACAACAAGCUUGUCUCUCUAUCCUCUGGUCCUUACAAGCAGAAGGGGAGAUGCUGCUGGGUACCAUGUCAUUGUCUGUGAAAUGGGCUGUCUUCAUGUGUAAUCUCAGUCAUUCGGUAUUAGAAACUGCUUCAUUCAUUUUCCUCAUGAACAGUAUUAAUUCUUCAUGAGUUAAAAGGUUCCUUAUAUACACAUAUUAUGAGUUAUUUUCCAAACUGAUAGAAAAAAAAAAGUUAACCAAAAGUUCUCAGUUUCCAUAAAUUUUGUUUCUAUCUGUACCUUCCUUUCCAAAAUGAGUUAAUUGUAAAGAAAAGGAUAUUAAAUUUUUGGUAAAAUAAAGUGGAAUCCUG